GGCAAGACCGGUGCCAGCCGCCGCGGUAACACCGGCGGCUCGAGUGGUAACCGUUAUUAUUGGGUCUAAAGGGUCUGUAGCCGGCCGGAUAAGUCUCUUGAGAAAUCUGGCAGCUUAACUGUCAGGCUUUUCAGGAGAUACUGUCUGGCUCGAGGCCGGGAGAGGUGAGAGGUACUUCAGGGGUAGGGGUGAAAUCUUGUAAUCCUUGAAGGACCACCAGUGGCGAAGGCGUCUCACCAGAACGGACCUGACGGCAAGGGACGAAAAGCUAGGGGCACGAACCGGAUUAGAUACCCGGGUAGUCCUAGCCGUAAACGAUACUCGCUAGGUGUCGGCCACGGUGCGACCGUUGUCGGUGCCGUAGGGAAGCCGUGAAGCGAGCCACCUGGGAAGUACGGCCGCAAGGCUGAAAC
RNAcentral lists this ribosomal RNA (413 nucleotides) under uncultured archaeon. Its description in RNAcentral is "bacterial SSU rRNA". It matches the Rfam family "Archaeal small subunit ribosomal RNA", at positions 445 to 855 of the family's 1478-position model. The record is from RNAcentral.